RNAcentral lists this ribosomal RNA (292 nucleotides) under uncultured bacterium. RNAcentral describes it as "partial 16S ribosomal RNA". The record is from RNAcentral.
GGACUACCGGGGUAUCUAAUCCUGUUUGCUCCCCGAGCUUUCGAACCUCAGUGUCAGGAAUGCCCCAGAAAGUCGCUUUCGCCACUGGUGUUCCUCCGAAUAUCUACGCAUUUCACCGCUACACUCGGAAUUCCACUUUCCUCUGACAUCCUCUAGUCUCGCAGUUUUCGAUCCAUUCCCGGAGUUAAGCCCCGGUCUUUAAGACCAAACUUACAAAACCACCUACGUUCUCUUUACGCCCAAUAAUUCCGGACAACGCUUGCAUCCUACGUAUUACCGCGGCUGCUGGCAC